AGUGCUUGCACUCUGUGAAACAAGAUACAGGCUAGCGGCGGACGGGUGAGUAACACGUGGGUAACCUGCCCAAGAGAUCGGGAUAACACCUGGAAACAGAUGCUAAUACCGGAUAACAACAGAUGAUGCCUAUCAACUGUUUAAAAGAUGGUUCUGCUAUCACUCUUGGAUGGACCUGCGGUGCAUUAGCUAGUUGGUAGGGUAACGGCCUACCAAGGCGAUGAUGCAUAGCCGAGUUGAGAGACUGAUCGGCCACAUUGGGACUGAGACACGGCCCAAACUCCUACGGGAGGCAGCAGUAGGGAAUCUUCCACAAUGGACGCAAGUCUGAUGGAGCAACGCCGCGUGAGUGAAGAAGGGUUUCGGCUCGUAAAGCUCUGUUGUUGGUGAAGAAGGACAGGGGUAGUAACUGACCUUUGUUUGACGGUAAUCAAUUAGAAAGUCACGGCUAACUACGUGCCAGCAGCCGCGGUAAUACGUAGGUGGCAAGCGUUGUCCGGAUUUAUUGGGCGUAAAGCGAGUGCAGGCGGCUCGAUAAGUCUGAUGUGAAAGCCUUCGGCUCAACCGGAGAAUUGCAUCAGAAACUGUCGAGCUUGAGUACAGAAGAGGAGAGUGGAACUCCAUGUGUAGCGGUGAAAUGCGUAGAUAUAUGGAAGAACACCGGUGGCGAAGGCGGCUCUCUGGUCUGUUACUGACCCUGAGGCUCGAAAGCAUGGGUAGCGAACAG
Molecule: ribosomal RNA, 727 nt
Filed under: uncultured bacterium
Lineage: Bacteria
Description: bacterial SSU rRNA
Rfam family: Bacterial small subunit ribosomal RNA
Source: RNAcentral